This 253-nucleotide ribosomal RNA is filed under the name uncultured bacterium. Its description in RNAcentral is "partial 16S ribosomal RNA". It matches the Rfam family "Bacterial small subunit ribosomal RNA", at positions 524 to 776 of the family's 1533-position model. The record is from RNAcentral.
UACGGAGGGUGCUAGCGUUGUUCGGAUUUACUGGGCGUAAAGCGCGUGUAGGCGGCUUUGCAAGUCGGAUGUGAAAGCCCACGGCUCAACCGUGGAAGUGCAUCCGAAACUGCAUGGCUGGAGUCUCGGAGAGGAAGGUGGAAUGCUUGGUGUAGAGGUGAAAUUCGUAGAUAUCAAGCAGAACACCUGCGGCGAAGGCGGCCUUCUGGACGAUGACUGACGCUGAGACGCGAAAGCGUGGGGAGCAAACAGG